This 58-nucleotide ribosomal RNA is filed under the name Salvia sclarea (clary). The record is from RNAcentral. Lineage: Eukaryota; Viridiplantae; Streptophyta; Magnoliopsida; Lamiales; Lamiaceae.
GUGCUUGGGCGAGAGUAGUACUAGGAUGGGUGACCCCCUGGGAAGUCCUCGUGUUGCA